RNAcentral lists this transfer RNA (76 nucleotides) under Nocardioides sp. dk884. Its description in RNAcentral is "tRNA-Gly". It matches the Rfam family "tRNA". Rfam says of the family: Transfer RNA (tRNA) molecules are approximately 80 nucleotides in length. Their secondary structure includes four short double-helical elements and three loops (D, anti-codon, and T loops). The record is from RNAcentral. Lineage: Bacteria; Bacillati; Actinomycetota; Actinomycetes; Propionibacteriales; Nocardioidaceae. RNAcentral also lists the same sequence under 2 other names.
GCGGACGUAGCUCAGUUGGUAGAGCGCAACCUUGCCAAGGUUGAGGUCGCGAGUUCGAGUCUCGUCGUCCGCUCCA